CUACGUGCCAGCAGCCGCGGUAAUACGUAGGUCCCGAGCGUUGUCCGGAUUUAUUGGGCGUAAAGCGAGCGCAGGCGGUUUGAUAAGUCUGAAGUUAAAGGCUGUGGCUCAACCAUAGUUCGCUUUGGAAACUGUCAAACUUGAGUGCAGAAGGGGAGAGUGGAAUUCCAUGUGUAGCGGUGAAAUGCGUAGAUAUAUGGAGGAACACCGGUGGCGAAAGCGGCUCUCUGGUCUGUAACUGACGCUGAGGCUCGAAAGCGUGGGGAGCGAACAGGAUUAGAUACCCUGGUAGUCCACGCCGUAAACGAUGAGUGCUAGGUGUUGGAUCCUUUCCGGGAUUCAGUGCCGCAGCUAACGCAUUAMGCACUCCGCCUGGGGAGUACGMCCGCAAGGUUGAAACUCAAAGGAAUUGACGGGGGCCCGCACAAGCGGUGGAGUAUGUGGUUUAAUUCGACGCAACGCGAAGAMCCUU
Molecule: ribosomal RNA, 472 nt
Filed under: uncultured bacterium
Lineage: Bacteria
Description: bacterial SSU rRNA
Rfam family: Bacterial small subunit ribosomal RNA
Source: RNAcentral